AGGUCAGAAAUGAAAGCCUAUAUCUAUCCUCAAUGUUCUGACCUGGAAACAUAUGAAUGUUUAGUAGUCUAACACC
This 76-nucleotide small nucleolar RNA is filed under the name Mus spicilegus (steppe mouse). RNAcentral's name for it is "Small nucleolar RNA SNORA17 (ENSMSIG00000016802.1)". It matches the Rfam family "Small nucleolar RNA SNORA17". From Rfam's summary of the family: snoRNA ACA 17 belongs to the H/ACA family of snoRNAs and is predicted to guide pseudouridylation of the 28S rRNA at positions U4659 and U4598. The record is from RNAcentral. Lineage: Eukaryota; Metazoa; Chordata; Mammalia; Rodentia; Muridae.